CCUACGGGUGGCAGCAGUGGGGGAUAUUGCACAAUGGGGGGAACCCUGAUGCAGCGACGCCGCGUGGGUGAAGAAGCGCCUCGGCGCGUAAAGCCCUGUCAGCAGGGAAGAAAAUGACGGCACCUGAAGAAGAAGCCCCGGCGAACUACGUGCCAGCAGCCGCGGUAAUACGUAGGGGGCAAGCGUUAUCCGGAUUUACGGGGGGGAAAGGGGGCGCAGACGGCGCUGCAAGCCAGGAGUGAAAGCCCGGGGCCCAACCCCGGGAGUGCUCUUGGAACUGGGUGGCUGGAGUGCAGGAGGGGCAGGCGGAAUUCCUGGUGUAGCGGUGAAAUGCGUAGAUAUCAGGAAGAACACCGAUGGCGAAGGCAGCCUACUGGACUGCAACUGACGUUGAGGCCCGAAAGCGUGGGGAGCAAACAGGAUUAGAUACCCCAGUAGUC
Molecule: ribosomal RNA, 440 nt
Filed under: uncultured bacterium
Lineage: Bacteria
Description: partial 16S ribosomal RNA
Rfam family: Bacterial small subunit ribosomal RNA
Source: RNAcentral